This 303-nucleotide long non-coding RNA is filed under the name Elaeis guineensis (African oil palm). RNAcentral describes it as "long non-coding RNA (EGUI_LNC022530)". The record is from RNAcentral. Lineage: Eukaryota; Viridiplantae; Streptophyta; Magnoliopsida; Arecales; Arecaceae.
GCCUGGGCAGAGUCCAAUAGAGGGUUUGUCAGCGAGCUUUAUGGCCUCUGGGGCAGCCCCAAACCCUGGAAUAGGAUUAGGAUUCAAUUCACCAAGAAGCUCAAGAAAAAGAACCAAACUUAACAAAGUGGACGGGAGAAAGAAAAAGGUGGUCUUGGACGUUGAUAGCACAGCAAAGUAUGAGGACAACCAAACCAGGGGCCCCACCUGGCGAGCACGAAUUUAAGAAUAUAAAAGUUGGGGGAAAGAAGGGAAUGAAAGCAAGUUGAGCAAAAAUAAAUAAAUAAAUAAAUGAAAGGAAAA